UCGAAGGAUGUCCUUGUCGCACACUGUUGCUCUCCUUGUCUAGCAUCGUUAGACAAAGAGAGCAGUAGCGUGUGACAAGGACAGAAAUACAGACGCGAUAGACAAGGAGGGUAUUGGCGUGCGACAAGGACAGACAUAUAUGCGUGAUAGACAAGGAGAGCAGCAGCGUGCAACAAGGACAGAAAUAUUUGUGUGUUAGACAAGGAAGUCACUUACGUGCGACAAGGACAGACAUAUAAGCGUGAUAGACAAGGAGAGCAGCAGCGUGCGACAAAGGACAGACAUAUACGCGCGGUAGACAAGGAGAGCGAUAGUGUGCGACAAGCAAGAAUCUUGAGAUUAUUGGAGUUGGUAUAGUUAAAUUCGGAAUAGUCAAAAAUACGAUUUCCACCGAGUCAAUCAAUCAAUCAUAUAAUGUGAAUAGGAAAGGAUAUCAGAAAAAGAGGUCACUGUUACACGGCUCUUUCUGUGUAUCGAUAAUUUUCGACUUAUAGUGGAUUGUGUCUCGUCCCGCUCCUAUUACUAAUGCUCCAAUUUCCGACUGUCAAAUUGAGAUGGUCCUACAAAAGCACACCCUUUCCUUCUCAGACGAAAUGAGCGUGAAAAUUCCUUCGAAAAAUAACAACAAAAUUGGACAACUCAGGUACCAAAACAAAGGAUUCUUUUUAAACGUAGUCACU
Molecule: long non-coding RNA, 680 nt
Organism: Frieseomelitta varia
Lineage: Eukaryota; Metazoa; Arthropoda; Insecta; Hymenoptera; Apidae
Exons: 3
Source: RefSeq, a predicted model, not a curated record